Molecule: ribosomal RNA, 577 nt
Filed under: uncultured bacterium
Lineage: Bacteria
Description: bacterial SSU rRNA
Rfam family: Bacterial small subunit ribosomal RNA
Source: RNAcentral
ACGGGUGAGUAACACGUGGGCAACCUGCCUGUAAGACUGGGAUAACUUCGGGAAACCGAAGCUAAUACCGGAUAGGAUCUUCUCCUUCAUGGGAGAUGAUUGAAAGAUGGUUUCGGCUAUCACUUACAGAUGGGCCCGCGGUGCAUUAGCUAGUUGGUGAGGUAACGGCUCACCAAGGCAACGAUGCAUAGCCGACCUGAGAGGGUGAUCGGCCACACUGGGACUGAGACACGGCCCAGACUCCUACGGGAGGCAGCAGUAGGGAAUCUUCCGCAAUGGACGAAAGUCUGACGGAGCAACGCCGCGUGAGUGAUGAAGGCUUUCGGGUCGUAAAACUCUGUUGUUAGGGAAGAACAAGUACGAGAGUAACUGCUCGUACCUUGACGGUACCUAACCAGAAAGCCACGGCUAACUACGUGCCAGCAGCCGCGGUAAUACGUAGGUGGCAAGCGUUAUCCGGAAUUAUUGGGCGUAAAGCGCGCGCAGGCGGUUUCUUAAGUCUGAUGUGAAAGCCCACGGCUCAACCGUGGAGGGUCAUUGGAAACUGGGGAACUUGAGUGCAGAAGAGAAAAGCGGA